AGAGUUUGAUCAUGGCUCAGGAUGAACGCUGGCGGCGUGCUUAACACAUGCAAGUCGAACGAAGCACUUAUCAUGAAGUUUUCGGAUGGAUCGGUAAAUGACUGAGUGGCGGACGGGUGAGUAACGCGUGGGUAACCUGCCUUAUACAGGGGGAUAACAGUUGGAAACGACUGCUAAUACCGCAUAAGCGCACAGUACUG
This 200-nucleotide ribosomal RNA is filed under the name uncultured bacterium. Its description in RNAcentral is "partial 16S ribosomal RNA". It matches the Rfam family "Bacterial small subunit ribosomal RNA", at positions 8 to 189 of the family's 1533-position model. The record is from RNAcentral.